GACGAACGCUGGCGGCGUGCUUAACACAUGCAAGUCGAACGGAAAGGCCUGCUUUCCCUUGUGGAUUGCGGGUACUCGAGUGGCGAACGGGUGAGUAACACGUGAGUGAUCUGCCCCCAACUUGGGUAUAAGCCUGGGAAACUGGGUCUAAUUCCCGAUAGGACUGCAGGGUGGUGCCUGUGGUGGAAAACGAUUUUCUAGUGGUUGGGGAUGAGCUCGCGGCCUAUCAGCUUGUGGGUGGGGUAAUGGCCUACCACGGCGGCGACGGGUAGCCGGCCUGAGAGGGUGGACGGCCACAUUGGGACUGAGAUACGGCCCAGACUCCUACGGGAGGCAGCAGUGGGGAAUAUUGCACAAUGGGCGGAAGCCUGAUGCAGCGACGCCGCGUGGGGGAUGACGGCCUUCGGGUUGUAAACUCCUUUCGACCGCGAGGAAGCCACCUGGUUGGAAGGGUGGUGACGGUAGUGGUAGAAGAAGCACCGGCUAACUACGUG
This 494-nucleotide ribosomal RNA is filed under the name uncultured bacterium. Its description in RNAcentral is "partial 16S ribosomal RNA". It matches the Rfam family "Bacterial small subunit ribosomal RNA", at positions 28 to 507 of the family's 1533-position model. The record is from RNAcentral.